GGAAAGCCCUGAGCAGGGGAGGCCUCAGCUUGACCUGCUGCAGUGCAGCCUUUGGGACUUCCCUCGCCUUCCACCUCCUGCUCAUCUGCUUCCCAAGCUGUCGCUAUGGUGUCGGUGCGCAGGCCGUGGCCUGCCCCUGCUCGUCCGCCUGGGGGCGCCGAGGCUCCCGGCGAAGACGCCUCCCAGAAGCUGAGCCGCUACUACGCCUCCGUUGCGCCACUAGCUCAACCUGGUCACCCGGCCGCGGCUCCGCCCCCAGGCUUGCCUCCCCAGAUCCGAUUCCUUUUCCUUCGCUCCUGGCGCCGACCCGUGGCGAGGACCCCCGAGGCCUCCUGGGAGAUCUUCCAACCACGCCCGUCUCAUUUGCAUACGCACUCCCGACCCCAGAAACCCGGAUUCCGCCUCCUGGCGGCGGCGUCUGAGGAGGGUGCGGGUGCGGGCUUUCAGCGUCUCGGCGCUCCAAACCCUGGGCUGCAGGGCUGUGUGUGGUCCUUCCCUGGUCCCAAAGUAAAGAGCGAAACCACAGAAACGAAUGUGUGCCUUUUUAUUUCCUUUCCUUUCUCCUUCGUGGAGGUGGCGUCCCUUGGAAGUGGAGGGUGGAGGCGUGGGGGCCAGAGGAGAGAAAACCGACUCGGACAGAGGCCCCCCGGA
This 651-nucleotide long non-coding RNA is filed under the name Saimiri boliviensis boliviensis (Bolivian squirrel monkey). RNAcentral's name for it is "lncRNA (ENSSBOG00000036545.1)". Lineage: Eukaryota; Metazoa; Chordata; Mammalia; Primates; Cebidae. The record is from RNAcentral.